This is a long non-coding RNA of Rosa chinensis, 2750 nucleotides long. RefSeq lists it as uncharacterized. The record is from RefSeq and is a predicted model, not a curated record. Lineage: Eukaryota; Viridiplantae; Streptophyta; Magnoliopsida; Rosales; Rosaceae. The transcript has 2 exons.
CUUAAUUCCAACCUCCCACCAAACCAACUACUUUCGUUCUCUCUCUCUUCCAGUUCUCUGUAUCUCUCUCUCUCUCUCUCUCUCUUCCAUUCUCUGCUUCAAAACCCAAGGCAAGGCCACCACAAAUCUGAGACCUCCAUGAUCUGCACCUACCUCAACCUAAUUUCCAAUCUUUAACAUGUAAGCUACUAGCCUACUACUCUCUUUCUCUGUUUCGUUGUGUUCAAGAAAAUUGGGGAUUAUAGUAAAGAUUGAAGCUUUUGCUUUUCUUGAACCAAAGUGCAGAAUCUCUGCACCCAAAUAGUGAAAUAGAUGAUUUUGAUUUGAAUUGUGAUUUGUGUGCUUAGAAAAUGUUUUCAGCUCUGGGUUAUCGGCGAACUAAGAGAAUGAGAGAAGAGAAUUCGUUGAAUUGACGAAUGAGGAUAAAAAAAAAAUAUAUAUAUAUAUAUAUAUAUAUAAUCAAGCCGCCCAGCGCCCAGCCGGCUCAGCCCAGGCCGCCUAACCUCCGCCUAGCUCGCCUAGGCGGUUGCCUAGGCCUUUUUUUAGAACCCUGAUUGACCAUAGAAGUGUUCUGGGGACUUUGGAUGGUCUCAGAUGAGGAUUCGACCGUUGGAUUUUGGUAUAAUUCUGUGAUGAUGAUCCUAGAAGUGAUCUGUGGGGAUCUGACCGUUAGAUCAUCGUAUAAUUGUGUUUUGUGAUUUGUGUGAUAAGUUGAGACUGUAUGUGAUUAGGUGCUUGACGAAAUGAUAUUGGGUGAACGUUUUGUGUUUGCAUGAUCUUGGCUGUUAGAAAAUACGCAGCUGGAUUUAGAGGGAUUACUACGAUGUCUUUCAUUUGAUUUUAAUGUAAUCUCUAGAACCAAACUCUAUGCAUGGAUUACUAUGGUUGUAGAUUAUGUGUUUUUUGGUGAUCGCCUGAACUAAUUCUCUAUGCAAGGAUUUCUGGUUUUAUUUAGUUUAAUUUGUGAGUGCAGUUGUGAUUGAGAGUGAGUUGAGAAAUGUUUUAUCCAUUGUGGUGAUAAAUGCUUCUUGUCGAGAGGAAAGAAAUGUAAUUUCUAGGAUUUGUUGUUGAGAUUUCAAAUGAUUUGGUUUAUCACAAUGGUGAGAUUUGUCUUCCUUAAAAAGAAAAGGAUUUGAUUUUGAAAUAACCAUUGAGUUGAUUUGUUGUCCUUGAGUCGGAAAGGUGUUUUGUGGUUAUUUUGGUUUACUCACACGAGCUUGCAAAAGCUUACCGGGUUUGUUGUUUCAACCCGGUGCAUUAUUCCAUGGUGUAGAGGUUAUUGUGUAGGUUAGAAUAUCGAGUAACGGCCGUCGGAAUUGAGGUUUUGUUGCUCUCAUAGCUUGGAUGUAGAAUUACUUUUGGUUUUAGUCUUCCGCUGUGUAGUGAGUAUGGUGGGUGUGUUUACUCAUUGAAUUGUCAUUCAGUUUAAUUUGUAAACUCUUUUGUAAUGUAAUAUGUGACUCUAAAGAGCGAGUCGAUAUUGACAUGGUGAGCUCAGUUGGUUUUGUUGCAUAGUUUAAAUGAAUAAUUUUCUAUGUGUUUUUUUGUGCUUGUGAAGUUAUCGCGUUUCGGAUUCGAAUUUCUUUCUUCGAAAUUCGGGGCGUGAAAGAUUGUGUCUGACAAUGUUCAGAUGCACUGACAUUUUGACAUUGACUUGAUGCUUGACCAAAGUAUACAUGAGACACUAUAACCAAAAAUCAAAUAAUAUGAAUUAAUCUAUAUUUGUAAACAAACAAUAAUUUUUGCUAACAAUAUUUACAUAGAACAAUAUUUUGGAACACAUAAAAUAUACCAAUUUCUUUUGCAUCUCCAACUUGAUCACAUUUAUUUCCACCAGAAGAAGCAUGAUCAGAUUCAGUUUUUCUUUGCUGAACUCUGUCCAGUUUCAUAACUUUCAACAGCAGAUUGCUCUAACACUCUCUUCAUUCCUCUAGUCAAUUAGUCAUCAUCUUUGGUGACAUCACUGUAUUAACAUAUAUAAGCUUGUAAAAAUUUUAGAUUAACUAUACAAAAUACACUAUAUUAUUCAAACAACAUCAUACAUUUCAAUUUGAAGUGAAAAAACACUUAUUACAUUAUGAAAGAUAGAAAAAUAACUAUACCAAGCAGGGGAAGAAAAGAGAACAAAAAAAAAAAAAGCUGCAAUCGCAAAACCUUUAGCAAAUCACAAGCUACAAUCACAAUGCAAUGAUUUCAAUCCGAACUUCACAUAAAACUAAGCUUUAUUUACAUCAAAAUUAAUACUUGGAAUUAUUUAAAUAAAUUCAUUUAAUAACACUUAGCAUAACUGUUUAAAUUUUGUUGACAACAUUGAUUAAACAUUCAUACCUGAAUUCAAAACACUUCCAAAUUUUGAUUGCACACUGUUCCCAAUAUCUGCAGAACUAGGGAUGGAAAUGGGGCGGGUUGGAGAUGGGGAUCACAAUAUCUUCCCCAUCCCCGAGGUCAUUCUCCACCCCCAUUCCUGCUCCAAUCCUCAAUAAAAAUUUACUGGGGACUAAGCCUCCAAACCCGCUCCAAAUAGAUUUUAAUAAAUAAAAUAAUUUUUUUCUCACAUUGCCUUUUUAAAAAGGGAGUUUCUAUUCAUACCUCCAAAAUUAGUAUUUAGACCUCCCAACAUAAUAGACCUCCAACUUACUUUUACAAAUAACCAAUAUACUAUCUACACCUCCUUAAUUUUCCCAUAAUACCCAUCAUCCAAUGAUAUCAAUAAAAAAAAAAAAAAAAAAUUAGAGUGUUCUAUUCAUAUA